CGCCGCCACUGUCGUUUCCGCCCGCUGACGCGACCUCACCACGCCGCCGCGCGGCCUUCCUGUAAUUCACAAGACGAAGAUCAGGGCUACGAGAAUCAGCAGUCUGUCCAGGAAUGCAUUUUCCAUCUACAUGGAUCGUCUCCAUCUUUUACUUACCAGCCCAACAAUGAAUGCGUCUGGCCCAGCCCAACAACGCGUACAAGGCCCCAGCACGGAAAAUUAGUGGACUGGGACGAAGAAGCCCCGGAUGGCUCCGUUUCGAGAGACUGGGCUAAAGCGUGCGACCGAGCGCGGCGGGCGGUUUGGGCGCUUCCGCCUUCGCGCUUGGGUCCGUGUCGUCGCCCAUUGCGCAGCAGAGUUUAGUACCACCUCGUCCAGAUAAUGACGGAAACGCCAGGUUAUAAUCCGAAGCGUUGCAGCAGCGUUGUCUCUUCGGAGACAUCCGAUAAAAUUGGAACGAUACAGAGAAGAUUAGCAUGGCCCCUGCGCAAGGAUGACACGCACAAAUCGAGAAAUGGUCCAAAUUUUUUUGAAAUUUUGCGCGCCAAUCCCUGGUUCCUUACACAUAUGCCCCUGGGCGCUUCUUUUACGGCCCCUGCAGUCUUCCGUGCUUACCAUGGGGUCCCUGAUGUUUUUCACUAAAGUCCGUCCAUAUCUGACACGCACAAAUCGAGAAAUGGUCCAAAUUUUUUUGAAAUUUUGCGCGCCAAUCCCUGGUUCCUUACACAUAUGCCCCUGGGCGCUUCUUUUACGGCCCCUGCAGUCUUCCGUGCUUACCAUGGGGUCCCUGAUGUUUUUCACUAAGGUCCGUCCAUAUCUGUCUCUUUGUUCUACCCUUGGAUUCUUACGUCUAGGGCCUAGUAACUUCUACAUUAUUACAAUAAGACCCUUGAGGCUUGAGAUUGCCUGUUAAUUCCCAAAUAUGUCCCUGAUUUUCAUUCUUAUGUGCUUUAUUUCGUAACUCAUCUUCGAGACGGACUUUUACAGCAAUAGAAAAGACUUACUAGAUUUUUCUACACUUUUGGAUCCUUUAAGUUCCUAUCCGUGGAUAGUCAAAAAUCCAAAUUGGUUAAUAAAUAUAAGAGACCAGAGAGCAACUCCAUUUCAGGAUAUGCACUUUGCUCAAAUAGGGUAUUUCUUUUUUUUUCUUUUGCGACAAUAAAAAACUAUAUUCACACCCGUUAUAGCAGAUUUCUCAGGGCAUGGUAGUGCAUUUUUAUUUAGCAUGGUACUCCCGGUAAACCUCUACUCAUGAGACCCACAUGUAAGAAAUUUGGGCCUCCAUCCUACUUACUCCCUCCAUACCAAAUUGUAAGUCGUUUUGGUAUUUCAAAAUUCAUAAAUUUUGCUAUGCAUCUAGAUACAGCGGCGGAUCCAGCGGUAGGGAACCCCCCACCCACCCACCCAAGGAGGAAGGAGAGGAGAGGAGGGAGGAAGAAGAAUAGGAAAUGAGCCCCCUAAUGUGUAACCCUGGAUCUACCACUGGAUAUAUAGUAAAUACUAUGAAUCUAGAAAUAGUAAAAUGGACGUAGUAAGUCCUAUUUCGUUUUCUUUCACCGCACUCAAUAGUAAAAUGGACGUAGUAAGUCCUAUUUCGUUUUCUUUCACCGCCCUCGAGAAAAUAUCACGAGUUUUUUGUGCUUGGAAGUUUUUCUUGAGAUCAGAAAACACACACGAAAAGUGUACAUCAUGCAUGCUGAAAUCAUCGCUACACUGACAGCAGAAUCGGCACGGGCCCAUGGGCGGAAGGCGGACGACGCGGAGGCUGCAUUCUUCAUUCUCGGACAGAAUAAAUAAACAUCGGAAGAACAUAAAGAAGAACUCUUGGUACGCCCAUCUCGAUUUUCUGGUUUGCAGGCACCAUCCGUCAGAUGUCCAAUGAUGGGGCUCUCGGCCCCAUUUUUGUUAACGCGACAGAAACCACUUGCUGUUAAGCGUCGGUGUCAAUGGCUGACAGCACACAUAUAUAUAUGGGACAGCGGCACACGACCAAAUCACAGUCAUCAAUUAUCGUAUCGUGUCCAGUUGCUUUCGUGAUACUACUGCAUGGGCACUUUUAAUGCCACGCAUACUAGUGCACGUGAUCUGAUUGCAUGGGAAAGAUUAGCUAGCGUGGCCUUGUCAAGUCUGAACCGCUGCAACUUGUAAACGCACCGACUGGUGGUGCGACCAGCCAGGCGAUCCAUUUUAGUGAGUGAUCACACGCGAGUGAUUUGAGUCAUUUCUGAUCUUUUGGAUUAGUUAUGUAUGCAUAGCAAUACGCAUUAGUUACCAUUAUGUUGAGCUUGAGUCUUUUGGCGAUAAAAUAAACUAAAUGUGAUUGAGCUUGAGCUCAAACUGAUAAUUAACAAAGGCAUCUGCUAUCCAACUUUUCGGUGGAGUUGCAAUCAAUAGUUGCAAGCUGUUGCCAUGCCAUUGCCAUCAGGAUCGGAGAAGAUUGGUGUGCCGUGUGCAUGGAUCCUUCUCAAUUUUUUGUGGUGCCUGACGGCUGUCCAUAUAUGCUGCCUACCUUUCAGGUUUCCAGGACUUUCUGUGGUGCAGCUGUAGCUUGCGUUGGAGCAGAGGACUAAGAUCAUGAUAUUGUACUAGUACGAUCUUUUCUUUUCUUUUUUGUUUAUACUCCAUCCUCAAAGGAAUUCCCGUUUUAUUUCUGGUUGCAAGGAGGUCUUUUAUUUUGUGGAGUAGAAGCAACUGCUACCUCAUCAUCGCAACUAAAAUCUCUAGGCUAUACCAAACACAAGAUCGAUCGCGAGGUAUCCUGAAAGUUCGCGGGAUUUUCCCUGACUGUACAGAUUAUUAGACUUAGGGGCUGUUUGGUUUGUUGACAAUUGCAACCAAACCAAAAUUUUGGCAUGCCAUCGCAACUUCUAGCGUACUUGGUCCUAGGAGCAUCUCCAACAAACUAUCUAUUUUUUAUUCUCCAUUUAACUCUCUAUCUAAGUUAGUAAAAAGAUUCCUCUCCACGUUGAGUUUCUCAUUCCAAUAGACUAUCAAUUUUUUACUCUUCAAACCCUAACAGCUAGUUUCCUUUCUAAAAAUAUACACUCUCCAUACACUCCAACAGCCUCUCCAUUUCGCACUACAACAGCAUCUUUAUUUUGCACUCUCCAUUCUAGCAACUACUGCACGUGGACCCCACACUUUGGCAAGGCAAACUGACUUGCUAAAGGCUUGCCAAGAUUGGCAAGUGUGAGGGGCAAGUCGGAUGGGAUGAAAACUUAGAUAAAAGCUCUGUUGGACCACGAUUUUCUUACUAGCUAAAUUUUAGCUUGGCAAGUCGGAUAGCAACUUUUUUGGGUUGCUCUAAAGUUGGUGUGCCAAUCGACGCCAACGCAAAACAACGCGAGCGCAGGGCGAGAAUGCAGGUGAGGCAAAUGCGGAAGUAGUUCCUCUGUAGUAGCAGCAAAUGCGGAAGUAGUUCCUCUGUAGUACUGCUAUUGCAGUUGGAUUAUUAACAUGUGAGACCAGGUCCACACGUCAGUCACUCAAGAGCAGCUCCAGAGACUCAUCCGAAAAUGCUCGCCCAAGAUUUGGCAGACGCCCCGACCUGUUCGCUUCACCUUAUUCAGCCGGCUUAUCAGCCACCAAACAAUAUUUUCCUCUCACAACAGAUCAGCCAUUUCAGCUUUUCCGCCAGCUUAUAAGCUGAAGCGAACAGGCCCACGUCCCUACGAGCAAUCGUGACAGGAGCUGUAUGGCUACACGGAAACCGAAAAUCAUGAUUCAACCAUAUUUAAAUAUUUAAAUGCUAAUAUCUUUUAAAUGGUUUAUCUAAUUGAAAAUCCAAUUACAUAUUUAUAAUUAUUGCAAUUACAUCUAUCAAAUGAGAUAUUGCUUGGCUAUAUUUCGAUAAAAAAAAUAACAAUGACAUGUAGACCCAUGCAUCAUACUCAUUGUUUUGGCAUGGCUACAAUCCAAACAUUGUCGUGCCGAUAUUUUGGUGUUGCCCGCACUUUGAUCAUGACCAACAUUUGGUAGGGCUAGCUGCGGCUAAAACCAAACAAGCCCUUAACUCUGUUGGACCACGAUUUUCUUACUAACUUGCUAAUUUUAGCUUGGCAAGUCGGAUAGCAAAUCUCUUGGAUUUGCUCUAAAGUUGGUGUGGCAAUCGGCACCAACGCAAAACAACACGAGCGCAGGGUGAGGAUGUAGGCGAGGCAAAUGCGGAAGUGGUUCCUCUGUAGUACUGCUAUUGCAGUUGGGUUAUGGACCUGUGGGAUCGGAUCCACACGUAAGUGACUCAGCAGCUCCGGAGACUCAUCCAAAAAUGCUCGCCCAAGAUUUGGCGGACGUCCACGUCCCUGCGGGCAAUUGUAGCAGGACCUGUAUGGCUACACGGAAACCGAAAAUCACAAUUCAACCAUAUUUAAAUGCUAAUAUCUUUUUAAAUGGUUUAUCUAAUUGAAAAUCCAAUUACAUAUUUAUAAUUAUUGCAAUUAAAUCUACUAAAUGAGAUGUCACUUGGCUAUAUUUUGAUAAAAAAAAUAACAAUGACAUGUAGACCUCAUGCGUCAUACUCAUUGUUUUGGUAAGUUUUGGCAUGACUACAAUCUAAAUAUUGUUGCACCGAUAUUUUUGUGUUGCCCGCACUUUGAUCACGACUAACAUUUAGUAGAGCUAGCUAGUGCUAAAACCAAACGAGCCCUUAAUCAGUUUCGGAGCCUUGGCCAACAGUCCUUUAAACCACACCAGCUGGACCAACCAAUGUUUGGUGCAAACACGGAGAAUUAUGAUUAAGCUUGUACAGUAUUAUUAUUCACGAUCUAAAGUCCCGGCUCCAACAGUUUCGAUAUAAAGCCAUAUGUAACGUCUUGGCCUCGCUGAAUGGCCAAAUUUUUUGUUUGUGGGUUGCUUGCAAGACUACAUAACCAAUAUUCAAGGGAGAUAUUGAAUUACUUCUAGCGUGGAGGGAGGAACAAACAAUUUAUGAUGCUUAACAAAGUCGACAAGUUAGAAAUAAAUGCUGUCCUGUCCUGCCAUCAAAACUCUAGCUACCACUCAAUCAAUUGAUUUCGAGUUAAGAAAAAAAAAUCAAUCCCUUUUGUCUGAACAAAAUCCCUUUCGGUAAAUUAUGUAAACUACAGUACCAACAUAGUACACCCAGGUAAAACUAGGUGCAGAAUCGAUCAACAGUCUUGCCUCUAGAUGAAAUUGAAAAGAAACGUCAACCUACAAGUAAAAACGGCUUUGUUCCGUUUUCAGGAGAAGUACCAGCUCCCAGGCAUCUCCAGAGGUUAUCCCGUCAAACGUGGCCGUUCUUCAGAAUUGAGAAGAUAAGCCCUGCAUGACCCGGAGCAGACGUGUACACCCACCACAGCCCCGAUCCAGAGGAGGAGGGGGUAGGAGGCAGGAGACAACAGACGAGGGAUCCGACGUGUCCGAGAACUGGUGGCUCAGCACCGAUCGCGGAUCCAAACCCACCUCCGCCGCAGGAUCCAGGCUGACCGCACCCCACCGCCGUCCGUCCCCACAGCGCGCACAAGCAAAGCUGACUCACCCCUUGUGCUUCGCACAGCAGCAGCUCCGGUCGGGGAGGGCCCACGCGUGCACACGCGGCGGCGUAACCGCCAGGCAGCGCCAGUGCGCAGCUCGGCCCCACCCGUCAGCCUAACCGCCGCGGUGCCCUCGGGCCUGCUGCUGACUCACCGAGUCGCUCGCCCCGAGACGCCAUCUCUGCCGCCGCGUCCGAACCCAGCGCACCCGCCUCCGUUCAUACCCAGCCAGCCACGCGUGGGCCCAUACCUUGCGCGUCCCCACAUGUCAUCGGUGCUCUACGUGUGGUCAUCUAUACUUAUCUACCCGCCCACGCUUUCACCGUGGGAGACGGAAACCAACGAUGCUGCCGUCCACACGUCGCCUGAACGGAGCCGUUCCGUUUCGUUCCGUCCAACCGCGGCUGCUGCCUGCUGCUCCGCGACUUUUCCCCUCUCUGUUCCCCACGCGGCCACGCCUCGACCCACUGACAUCUUGGCCCCACCGCGGGCAUAACGGCCAUUUCAAAACUCCCAGCCUGCCUCGUGUGUGUGUGUGUGGCUUUAAAGCGACACGGUCGCCUCCGCUAGCUUUCUUCCCCAUUUCGUCGCAUCGGCAUCCUCUUGCUUCACACGCGCACCGCGAUUUUUUUAAUUUGGGGGUUGGUCUCUCUAUCUGGUCGGCGGCGGCGGCGGAGGGCGUAGCGAGGAUGGAGACGGCGGCGGCGGCGAUGCUGGAGGCCGGGGUGGGGCGGUUCUCGCGGGCGCCGGCGCUGGCCGCGGCGCUGCUGGCCGAGAUGUGGGCGCCGCUGGCCGUGGCGCUGGCGGCGCUAGCCACGCUGCCCAGCCUGCUGCGGCGGCUGCAGGUCAUCGUGCUGCGCCUCCGCUCCCGGGGGAAGGAGGUCAUCCAGUCGCACAUCGGGACCUACUACUCCUCCGGCGACGAGGAUGAUGAGGAUGAGGACGGCGACGAGCAUGACGAAGAGGAGAGCUCCGACGAGGCGGACACGAGCUCCUCCGGCGAGGAGGAGGAUCUGAAGCGGAUCGGGUUCUACGACGGCGCGGCGGACGGCGGCUUCCCCUGGGGCGGCGCCGUCGUCCGGACCUGGCAGGGCCUGCCGCGCGCCCUCUCCGGCUGCUCCAUCUCCACCUCCCUCGGCGGCGGUGGCGCGAGGUUCGCCGCCAUCAACGGGGCGCUUCCGGCGGUGAGGCUGUGGGCCGCCAGCACGGCCAGCUGCGAGCAGUGGUGGGCCGGCGCCGAUGAAGGCGGCUGCGCCGGCGGCGCGGCCGCGGAGGCGCUGCCCUCGCCCCCGGCGCCGGCGGACCAGGUGGUCGUCGGGUGGCGGCGCGACGACGCCGCGUCCCGGCGCCGGCGGCGUGCCCCGCUGCCCCGCCGCGUCCACGCCAACUGAAACAGGACGGGACGGGGUCACGGGGAGGGACCGGUGGGUGCGAGAGGCCGAUGUGAAUAUGCCGCAGGGCGACCAGCUGGAGAUGCCGAUUCCCCCGUUGGGGCCCACCUGCCAGUGGGAGGGGCUAAUGAAUAAGGAGGGGUGAUUAGUAUUGUGGGGGAGUGGUUAGGCGCCGCGCCGGAUUGGUUGGUGAGAUUAUUAUUUCAAAAACAAAUUGCUUAUUGAUUAGGGAAGGAACCAGAGGAAAAAGGAAAAAAGCAUUGGGGGCAGGUGCGAGGUGCACUGCGUGUUGUUGCUGUACACUUGUACUGCGCCUAGCUUGCUGGAAUUAGAAAUGCAUGCUGCAGCUGCUCAUUUUCUCUUGGAGAUGACGGUAAAAUCUUGCGCGCGUGUAAUCUGUGCCGCCAUUCUUUGAUUCAUGCGGCGAUGUGAUGAAUAAGGAAAAGAAAAUAGUACCGGUGCGGUGCUCCAGUCCCCUUGUUUCUCGAUGUGCCUGGAUGUGCAGUGUUGGGAGACAGAUGUUUAAACUUUAGCUCUUUGUCACAUUAGAUGUUCGGACGUUAAUUAAGAGUUAAUUACAAACUAAUAGCAGAACCUCUAAGCUAAAUUGAAACAUGAUCUAAUUACAAAACUAAUAGCAGAACCUCUAGGUUAAAUCGCGAGACGAAUCUAUUAAGUCUAAUUAAUCAAUCAUUGUCAAAUCAUGAACAAAUUAGAUUUAACAGAUUCGUCUCGCAAUUUAGCCUAGGUUGUGCAAUUAGUUUUGUAACUAGUCUAUGUUUAAUAUUCUAAUUAGGGUGUUUGGAUACCCCAUACUAAAAUUUAACACCUG
RNAcentral lists this long non-coding RNA (7715 nucleotides) under Setaria italica (foxtail millet). The record is from RNAcentral. Lineage: Eukaryota; Viridiplantae; Streptophyta; Magnoliopsida; Poales; Poaceae.